UGUGGAUUCACCAGUGCGGAUCGAACAGCACCGUUUGCUCCAGCCCUGAUUCUACCAUAUCGAGAUGGUGUACAAGGAGAUGCGCAAGUGUAUUCCACAUCUUGAGGGAGAUGCAAGAUAUGCUUCCGCGAUCCUUGCUGCAGGUGUUCAAAUAAAUGAUUUAAAGUUUCA
This is a non-coding RNA of Dermacentor albipictus, 171 nucleotides long. The record is from RefSeq and is a predicted model, not a curated record. Lineage: Eukaryota; Metazoa; Arthropoda; Arachnida; Ixodida; Ixodidae.